Molecule: ribosomal RNA, 728 nt
Filed under: uncultured bacterium
Lineage: Bacteria
Description: bacterial SSU rRNA
Rfam family: Bacterial small subunit ribosomal RNA
Source: RNAcentral
GACGAACGCUGGCGGCGUGCUUAACACAUGCAAGUCGAACGGCGCCCAACCAGUGGCAACACUGGGGAAGGUGCAGUGGCGAACGGGUGAGUAACACGUGAGCAACCUGCCUCGGAGACCGGGAUAACAGCGGGAAACCGCUGCUAAUACCGGAUACCCCCAUCGGGCCGCAUGACCUGAUGAGGAAAUGAGUUUCGCUCCGAGAGGGGCUCGCGGGCUAUCAGCUUGUUGGUGGGGUAACGGCCCACCAAGGCUACGACGGCUAGCUGGUCUGAGAGGACGACCAGCCACACUGGGACUGAGACACGGCCCAGACUCCUACGGGAGGCAGCAGUGGGGAAUCUUGCGCAAUGGGCGAAAGCCUGACGCAGCAACGCCGCGUGCGGGAUGACGGCCUUCGGGUUGUAAACCGCUUUCAGCAGGGACGAAAUUGACGGUACCUGCAGAAGAAGCCCCGGCCAACUACGUGCCAGCAGCCGCGGUAAUACGUAGGGGGCGAGCGUUGUCCGGAUUCAUUGGGCGUAAAGCGCUUUAAGGCGGUUCGCUAAGUCGGGUGUGAAACCUCCAGGCUCAACCUGGAGACGCCACUCGAUACUGGCGUGACUAGAGUUCGGUAGGGGAUCACGGAAUUCCUGGUGUAGCGGUGAAAUGCGCAGAUAUCAGGAGGAACACCGGUGGCGAAGGCGGUGAUCUGGGCCGACACUGACGCUGUAGAGCGAAAGCGUGGG